RNAcentral lists this ribosomal RNA (254 nucleotides) under uncultured bacterium. Its description in RNAcentral is "partial small subunit ribosomal RNA". It matches the Rfam family "Bacterial small subunit ribosomal RNA", at positions 26 to 285 of the family's 1533-position model. The record is from RNAcentral.
AGGACGAACGCUGGCGGCGUGCUUAACACAUGCAAGUCGAGCGGAAAGGCCCUUCGGGGUACUCGAGUGGCGAACGGGUGAGUAACACGUGAGUAACCUGCCCCUAGCUCUGGGAUAGCUCCGGGAAACCGGGAUUAAUACCAGAUACGACCACUUUAGACAUCUGUCGUGGUGGAAAGGAUUCCGGCUAGGGAUGGGCUCGCGGCCUAUCAGCUUGUUGGUGGGGUAACGGCCUACCAAGGCGACGACGGGUA